CCCUAGUAACGGCGAGUGAAGCGGCAACAGCUCAAAUUUGAAAUCUGGCCCCGUGGCCCGAGUUGUAAUUUGCAGAGGAUGCUUUUGGCGCGGUGCCCUCCGAGUCCCCUGGAAUGGGGCGCCACAGAGGGUGAGAGCCCCGUAUGGUCGGACGCCAAACCUUUAUAAAGCUCCCUCGACGAGUCGAGUAGUUUGGGAAUGCUGCUCAAAAUGGGAGGUAAAUUUCUUCUAAAGCUAAAUACUGGCCAGAGACCGAUAGCGCACAAGUAGAGUGAUCGAAAGAUGAAAAGCACUUUGAAAAGAGGGUUAAACAGCACGUGAAAUUGUUGAAAGGGAAGCGCUUGUGACCAGACUUGCGUCGGGCGGAUCAUCCAGCGUUCUCGCUGGUGCACUCCGUCCGGCUCAGGCCAGCAUCGGUUUCCGCCAGGGGACAAAAGCUCCAGGAACGUAGCUCCCUCCGGGGAGUGUUAUAGCCUGCUGUAGAAUACCCCGGCGGGGACCGAGGACCGCGCCUCCGUGCAAGGAUGCUGGCGUAAUGGUCAUCAGCGACCCGUCUUGAAACACGGACCAAGGAGUCAAGCAUUAGGGCGAGUGUUUGGGUGUAAAACCCGCACGCGUAAUGAAAGUGAACGUAGGUGAGAGCCCUCGCGGCGCAUCAUCGACCGAUCCUGAUGUCUUCGGAUGGAUUUGAGUAGGAGCCUUAACGCUUGGACCCGAAAGAUGGUGAACUAUGCCUGGAUAGGGUGAAGCCAGAGGAAACUCUGGUGGAGGCUCGCAGCGGUUCUGACGUGCAAAUCGAUCGUCAAAUUUGGGCAUAGGGGCGAAAGACUAAUCGAA
This 837-nucleotide ribosomal RNA is filed under the name Pseudohalonectria sp. YQ-2022a. Its description in RNAcentral is "partial large subunit ribosomal RNA". It matches the Rfam family "Eukaryotic large subunit ribosomal RNA", at positions 78 to 939 of the family's 3401-position model. Lineage: Eukaryota; Fungi; Ascomycota; Sordariomycetes; Magnaporthales; Ophioceraceae. The record is from RNAcentral.